Molecule: unclassified non-coding RNA, 204 nt
Filed under: Hevea brasiliensis (rubber tree)
Lineage: Eukaryota; Viridiplantae; Streptophyta; Magnoliopsida; Malpighiales; Euphorbiaceae
Source: RNAcentral
UGGACACGGCUAUACGUAUAGUUUACACUCUGCAGAGGUGGCACUCCAGGAAUCCAUCCGGGCUGCAAGGCUAGUCCGCAACCAACCUGAGACACAGCCCACAGCAAAGACCCUAAACAGUAACGGCGCCAAUCCUGUCUCCCUGGGCUCGGGAAACAUCUGAUCUAACAUCUGCCCCAGGGAUGUGAAACCUUCCCACCGGGG